UUCUCUGUGCAUCAGCAUGCAUGUUAGUUAUUAGAGAAUGUAACAUUUUCUCAGUUUAACUCUCCUCUGAUUAUUAUGUAAUUUAAUUUGAGAUUCUUGGAGAUCCCACAUCAACUAAAAAGACAUUUUAUAAUAUAUAAGUUGGUAGAAAUUUCAUCUUCUAAAGUUUUAUAAGGUUAAAUUAGGUUUAAAGUGUACUUCUUAAUAUAAUAUCAUAAUCAUUUAAAAUUUAUGGUCUCGGCAUGAGGGAAGUUAUAUAAGUGAGUGCAACCUCAUGUUGUUAUUGUUAUGCUACCAUUUUCAUGUCAUAUAUGAACAAAAUGGUUUUUAAGAUUCCUUUCUCUAUCUUAGAAUGAUCAACAAUGAUCAGAAACAUACUCUGGUUUUUUGCAGGAGUAAAGG
RNAcentral lists this long non-coding RNA (402 nucleotides) under Phaseolus vulgaris (common bean). RNAcentral describes it as "long non-coding RNA (PVUL_LNC002690)". Lineage: Eukaryota; Viridiplantae; Streptophyta; Magnoliopsida; Fabales; Fabaceae. The record is from RNAcentral.